GGACCUACGGGGGGCAGCAGUGGGGAAUAUUGCACAAUGGGGGAAACCCUGAUGCAGCAACGCCGCGUGAAGGAAGACGGUUUUCGGAUUGUAAACUUCUAUCAAUAGGGAAGAAAGCAAUGACGGUACCUGACCAAGAAGCCCCGGCUAACUACGUGCCAGCAGCCGCGGUAAUACGUAGGGGGCAAGCGUUAUCCGGAAUUACUGGGUGUAAAGGGAGCGUAGACGGCUGUGCAAGUCUGGAGUGAAAGGCGGGGGCCCAACCCCCGGACUGCUCUGGAAACUGUAUGGCUGGAGGGCAGGAG
RNAcentral lists this ribosomal RNA (305 nucleotides) under uncultured bacterium. RNAcentral describes it as "bacterial SSU rRNA". It matches the Rfam family "Bacterial small subunit ribosomal RNA", at positions 333 to 654 of the family's 1533-position model. The record is from RNAcentral.